This 465-nucleotide ribosomal RNA is filed under the name Vreelandella stevensii. Its description in RNAcentral is "partial 16S ribosomal RNA". It matches the Rfam family "Bacterial small subunit ribosomal RNA", at positions 338 to 795 of the family's 1533-position model. Lineage: Bacteria; Pseudomonadati; Pseudomonadota; Gammaproteobacteria; Oceanospirillales; Halomonadaceae. The record is from RNAcentral.
CCUACGGGCGGCAGCAGUGGGGAAUAUUGGACAAUGGGGGCAACCCUGAUCCAGCCAUGCCGCGUGUGUGAAGAAGGCCCUCGGGUUGUAAAGCACUUUCAGUGAGGAAGAACGCCUGGUGGUUAAUACCCAUCAGGAAAGACAUCACUCACAGAAGAAGCACCGGCUAACUCCGUGCCAGCAGCCGCGGUAAUACGGAGGGUGCGAGCGUUAAUCGGAAUUACUGGGCGUAAAGCGCGCGUAGGUGGCUUGAUAAGCCGGUUGUGAAAGCCCCGGGCUCAACCUGGGAACGGCAUCCGGAACUGUCAAGCUAGAGUGCAGGAGAGGAAGGUAGAAUUCCCGGUGUAGCGGUGAAAUGCGUAGAGAUCGGGAGGAAUACCAGUGGCGAAGGCGGCCUUCUGGACUGACACUGACACUGAGGUGCGAAAGUGUGGGUAGCAAACAGGAUUAGAUACCCGAGUAGUC